AGUAACCUGGAAUGUGCGAUAAUUCCUGUAUUUUUGAACCUACAAUACUUUAAACGGGAUUCCGAUACAUGGUCCGGAAGUCAGGCCUACGUCGCGAUAGCGAAAAGCAGUGGAAGGCUGAAAGGCUGUUGAGGUUGCCCACCUGGCUGUCAGCUAGGAGUCAAAGAACAGGAACCGGCAUCCCGGGGCCUUU
Molecule: non-coding RNA, 193 nt
Filed under: Lachnospiraceae bacterium XBB2008
Lineage: Bacteria; Bacillati; Bacillota; Clostridia; Lachnospirales; Lachnospiraceae
Also listed under: 1 other name
Description: 6S / SsrS RNA
Rfam family: 6S / SsrS RNA
About the family: E. coli 6S RNA was the first non coding RNA to be sequenced, but its function was unknown until recently.
Source: Rfam by way of RNAcentral